GACGAACGCUGGCGGCGUGCCUAAUACAUGCAAGUCGUGCGGACCUUUUAAAAGCUUGCUUUUAAAAGGUUAGCGGCGGACGGGUGAGUAACACGUGGGCAACCUGCCUGUAAGACCGGGAUAACGCCAGGAAACCGGGGCUAAUACCGGAUAGUUUUUUCCUCCGCAUGGAGGAAAAAGGAAAGGCGGCUUCGGCUGCCACUUACAGAUGGGCCCGCGGCGCAUUAGCUAGUUGGCGGGGUAACGGCCCACCAAGGCAACGAUGCGUAGCCGACCUGAGAGGGUGAUCGGCCACAUUGGGACUGAGACACGGCCCAAACUCCUACGGGAGGCAGCAGUAGGGAAUCUUCCGCAAUGGACGAAAGUCUGACGGAGCAACGCCGCGUGAGUGAAGAAGGCCUUCGGGUCAUAAAACUCUGUUGCCGGGGAAGAACAAGUGUCGUUCGAACAGGGCGGCACCUUGACGGUACCCGGCCAGAAAGCCACGGCUAACUACGUGCCAGCAGCCGCGGUAAUACGUAGGUGGCAAGCGUUGUCCGGAAUUAUUGGGCGUAAAGCGCGCGCAGGCGGCUUCUUAAGUCUGAUGUGAAAUCUUGCGGCUCAACCGCAAGCGGUCAUUGGAAACUGGGAGGCUUGAGUGCAGAAGAGGAGAGUGGAAUUCCACGUGUAGCGGUGAAAUGCGUAGAGAUGUGGAGGAACACCAGUGGCGAAGGCGGCUCUCUGGUCUGUAACUGACGCUGAGGCGCGAAAGCGUGGGGAGCAAACAGGAUUAGAUACCCUGGUAGUCCACGCCGUAAACGAUGAGUGCUAAGUGUUAGAGGGUUUCCGCCCUUUAGUGCUGCAGCUAACGCAUUAAGCACUCCGCCUGGGGAGUACGGCCGCAAGGCUGA
RNAcentral lists this ribosomal RNA (890 nucleotides) under uncultured bacterium. RNAcentral's name for it is "bacterial SSU rRNA". It matches the Rfam family "Bacterial small subunit ribosomal RNA", at positions 28 to 897 of the family's 1533-position model. The record is from RNAcentral.